GAUCCUGGCUUAGGACGAACGCUGGCGGCGUGCUUAACACAUGCAAGUUGAACGGUAUGACAUGGAAGCUUGCUGAAGUGUCAUAUAGUAGCGGACGGGUGAGUAAUGCAUGAGAAGCUGCCAUUGGGAGGGGGACAACAGUUGGAAACGGCUGCUAAUACCCCGUAUGCCGGAAGGUGAAAGGGAGCGAUCCGCCCGAUGAGGUGCUCAUGUCCUAUCAGCUGGUUGGUGGGGUAACGGCCUACCAAGGCGACGACGGGUAGCCGGCCUGAGAGGGUGAACGGCCACACUGGAACUGAGAUACGGUCCAGACUCCUACGGGAGGCAGCAGUGGGGAAUAUUGGGGCCAAUGGGGGCAACCCUGACCCAGCGACGCCGCGUGGGGGAAGACGGCCUUCGGGUUGUAAACCUCUUUUGUACGGGAAGAAGGAAGUGACGGUACUGUACGAAUAAGUCCCGGCUAACUACGUGCCAGCCGCUGC
RNAcentral lists this ribosomal RNA (482 nucleotides) under uncultured bacterium. Its description in RNAcentral is "bacterial SSU rRNA". It matches the Rfam family "Bacterial small subunit ribosomal RNA", at positions 15 to 518 of the family's 1533-position model. The record is from RNAcentral.